CAAGUCGAGCGGACGUUUUAUUGGUGCUUGCACCGAUUUAACGUUAGCGGCGGACGGGUGAGUAACACGUGGGCAACCUGCCCUGUAGAUUGGGAUAACUCCGGGAAACCGGGGCUAAUACCGAAUAAUACUUUUUAACUCAUGUUAGAAAGUUGAAAGAUGGUUCUGCUAUCACUACAGGAUGGGCCCGCGGCGCAUUAGCUAGUUGGUGAGGUAACGGCUCACCAAGGCGACGAUGCGUAGCCGACCUGAGAGGGUGAUCGGCCACACUGGGACUGAGACACGGCCCAGACUCCUACGGGAGGCAGCAGUAGGGAAUCUUCCACAAUGGGCGAAAGCCUGAUGGAGCAACGCCGCGUGAGUGAAGAAGGAUUUCGGUUCGUAAAACUCUGUUGUAAGGGAAGAACAAGUACAGUAGUAACUGGCUGUACCUUGACGGUACCUUAUUAGAAAGCCACGGCUAACUACGUGCCAGCAGCCGCGGUAAUACGUAGGUGGCAAGCGUUGUCCGGAAUUAUUGGGCGUAAAGCGCGCGCAGGCGGUCCUUUAAGUCUGAUGUGAAAGCCCACGGCUCAACCGUGGAGGGUCAUUGGAAACUGGGGGACUUGAGUGCAGAAGAGGAAAGUGGAAUUCCAAGUGUAGCGGUGAAAUGCGUAGAGAUUUGGAGGAACACCAGUGGCGAAGGCGACUUUCUGGUCUGUAACUGACGCUGAGGCGCGAAAGCGGGGGGAGCAAACAGGAUUAGAUACCCUGGUAGUCCACGCCGUAAACGAUGAGUGCUAAGUGUUAGGGGGUUUCCGCCCCUUAGUGCUGCAGCUAACGCAUUAAGCACUCCGCCUGGGGA
This 844-nucleotide ribosomal RNA is filed under the name uncultured Bacillus sp. RNAcentral's name for it is "bacterial SSU rRNA". It matches the Rfam family "Bacterial small subunit ribosomal RNA", at positions 58 to 879 of the family's 1533-position model. Lineage: Bacteria; Bacillati; Bacillota; Bacilli; Caryophanales; Bacillaceae. The record is from RNAcentral.